RNAcentral lists this ribosomal RNA (630 nucleotides) under uncultured Methylobacter sp. RNAcentral's name for it is "bacterial SSU rRNA". It matches the Rfam family "Bacterial small subunit ribosomal RNA", at positions 202 to 820 of the family's 1533-position model. Lineage: Bacteria; Pseudomonadati; Pseudomonadota; Gammaproteobacteria; Methylococcales; Methylococcaceae. The record is from RNAcentral.
AGGGGAUCUUCGGACCUUUCGCUAUGAGAUGAGCCUGCGUUAGAUUAGCUAGUUGGUAUGGUAAAGGCCUACCAAGGCGACGAUCUAUAGCUGGUCUGAGAGGACGAUCAGCCACACUGGGACUGAGACACGGCCCAGACUCCUACGGGAGGCAGCAGUGGGGAAUAUUGGACAAUGGGCGAAAGCCUGAUCCAGCAAUACCGCGUGUGUGAAGAAGGCCUUAGGGUUGUAAAGCACUUUCAAUUGGGAGGAAAACCUGCCGGCCAAUACCCGGUAGCUUGACAUUACCUUUAGAAGAAGCACCGGCUAACUCCGUGCCAGCAGCCGCGGUAAUACGGAGGGUGCGAGCGUUAAUCGGAAUUACUGGGCGUAAAGCGUGCGUAGGCGGUUCGUUAAGUCAGAUGUGAAAGCCCUGGGCUCAACCUGGGAACUGCAUUUGAAACUGGCGGACUAGAGUUUAGUAGAGGGGAGUGGAAUUUCAGGUGUAGCGGUGAAAUGCGUAGAUAUCUGAAGGAACACCAGUGGCGAAGGCGGCUCUCUGGACCAGAACUGACGCUGAGGUACGAAAGCGUGGGUAGCAAACAGGAUUAGAUACCCUGGUAGUCCACGCCGUAAACGAUGUCAACUAGC